UGGGGAAUAUUGGACAAUGGGCGCAAGCCUGAUCCAGCCAUGCCGCGUGAGUGAUGAAGGCCUUAGGGUUGUAAAGCUCUUUCGCCGGUGAAGAUAAUGACGGUAACCGGAGAAGAAGCCCCGGCUAACUUCGUGCCAGCAGCCGCGGUAAUACGAAGGGGGCUAGCGUUGCUCGGAAUCACUGGGCGUAAAGCGCACGUAGGCGGAUCGUUAAGUCAGGGGUGAAAUCCUGGAGCUCAACUCCAGAACUGCCCUUGAUACUGGCGAUCUCGAGUUCGAGAGAGGUUGGUGGAACUCCGAGUGUAGAGGUGAAAUUCGUAGAUAUUCGGAAGAACACCAGUGGCGAAGGCGGCCAACUGGCUCGAUACUGACGCUGAGGUGCGAAAGCGUGGGGAGCAAAACAGGAUUAGAUACCCUGGUAGUCCACGCCGUAAACGAUGGAUGCUAGCCGUUGGGGGGUUUACCUCUCAGUGGCGCAGCUAACGCCUUAAGCAUCCCGCCUGGGGAGUACGGUCGCAAGAUUAAAACUUAAAGGAAUUGAC
This 542-nucleotide ribosomal RNA is filed under the name uncultured bacterium. RNAcentral describes it as "partial 16S ribosomal RNA". It matches the Rfam family "Bacterial small subunit ribosomal RNA", at positions 355 to 914 of the family's 1533-position model. The record is from RNAcentral.